AUUCAUCUUCGGGGCAGGGUGUAAUUCCCGACCGGCGGUAAUAGAAGGAGCGAUGUCUGACCAUCCUUGGAGGACAUUGCGAAACCCCUUCUUCAGCCCGCGAGCCGCUUUUACAGUGUGCAGGAUUUGGUGAGAUUCCAAAGCCGACAGUAUAGUCUGGAUGGGAGAAGGUGAAG
Molecule: non-coding RNA, 176 nt
Filed under: Lysinibacillus odysseyi
Lineage: Bacteria; Bacillati; Bacillota; Bacilli; Caryophanales; Bacillaceae
Also listed under: 1 other name
Description: FMN sequence
Rfam family: FMN riboswitch aptamer (RFN element)
About the family: The RFN element is a highly conserved domain that is found frequently in the 5'-untranslated regions of prokaryotic mRNAs that encode for flavin mononucleotide (FMN) biosynthesis and transport proteins. This element is a metabolite-dependent riboswitch that directly binds FMN in the absence of proteins.
Source: RNAcentral